UGUGGUCAGCUGCAUUGGGCUCAUCCCAGCGGAACUUCCCUUCCUCUGGAAACCCUGGCAUAGUAAUUCCUUGCAUCUCCCAAAGAUCCCAGGCGCUGGACCACAGUCACGUCUGCCCCCGUGCCUCUGUGGAUUGUGCAGGGAGUAACAGCAGGCUUCUCUCUGCAGAGAAACGCACUGAUUUGCACCAGAACCGCACCAGCGCACCCACUGGGGGCAAACUCCUGCCUCAGGGUUACCAUCAGGAGCUUCUCAAACAGACAUCAGCUCAGAAUUGCCUGCAGGACUCUGCCUGACCAGACGUACGCAGCCACCCUCUUUCCAUAAAGCCCGACCUGGAGCCCUGCCAGAUUAACAUCUCGAAUGGCAACAUUUAAGGCUUGGUUGGGGGUUUAAGAGCAUUUCACAACCCUGCCUUCAGCAACACGCUUCGCUGGCAGCUGCAGUUCAAUCAGUGUCACCACCCCGAGGUCUGUCACCUUUUCACCCUUCCUAAUUCCCAGGGCGUUUUAACAGCAGCGGCAACAACCGAACACUGGGUUAGCUUUCUGCUCGUCCAUGCCCACCACACUUUGUCCAUCCAGCAGGAGAUGCUCCACCUGUUUGGGUGUUUCUUCCUUUCUUUCCUUUUGAUAUCCCUUAUCUAAGAAGAUUUAUGAGCAAAAAAGUGGUUAUUUUUUGUCAAGAAAACUUUCCAGCCUUACAGUCACAGGCUAAGUUGGUGCUCACCCCACAGGGACUCUCCCAUUGAACCAAUUUUCUCUCUUCCCUUUUUCCUCCCUAUAAAUUCACAAAAAGGAGAAUUCCUACCACUAAAUAUUUAAUCAUUCACAACCUGGGGAUCUUUUUUUUCCUUAUCAGGGAGAGGCUGAUAAAGACUCAUUGAGGGGUCUAAAAUGACAACUGCAGUAUUAAGCAUCCUGAAAGAAAGGAGGAAAGUUGUGAAAAAGGAGAAAGGAAAAAAAGUUGUGGGAGGAUGGAAGGAAAAAAAAAGGUCAUCUGGGAUGAAAGAAAGGAAAAAAAGUUAUUUGGGGAUGAAAGGAAGGGAAAAAAGUUAUUUGGGGAUGAAAGCAAAAAGUUUGAGGAAGAAAUAAAAAGGUUAUUUGGGGAUGAAAGCGAAUCACAGAAUCAUUUUGACUGGAAGAGACCUUUAAGAUCAUCGAGUCCUACCUUCAGGGGAAAAAAAGUUACUCAGGGAUGAAAUAAAGUUAUUUGAGGAAGAAAGAAUAAAGUUGUUUGGAGAUGGAACUGAAAGGGUUUACCUCACGGAAGUUAAAAAGCCAUUCGAGGGAGAAAGACAAAACCGUGAUCCCAGGCGGCAAGCCCAAGGCAUCCCCCGGGGAAGCCAGGACGCAGCCGCAGCCCCUCGGGGGCUGAGCCGAGCUGCCCUGAGCUCCGCACACUCACAGGACCGCGACGGCGGGUCCCAGGGAGCGGCGAGACGGCCGCCGAGCCGCCUCCUCUCCCUCCCGGGGCCACUCUGCUCCCAAGGGGGAAGCUGAAGGGGUCCUGUGUGGCCACUGGCGUUCAAGGAUGGACUUCGGCAGUGAAGCCUUGCAGGCUGGGCAGUGGCCAGGAAGGGCAGCGGCUCAGCGAAGGAUGGGAAAGGAAACGCGUCCAGCCAGCAGCCACUGAGCCAAACAGAAGUAGUCUUUAGCAAUAAUAAACACUUUGAAUUUACAAUUUCGUUUCUCCCCACAGUAAAUAAACCUGAGGAGUGUAAACAGCA
Pogoniulus pusillus (Red-fronted tinkerbird) is the source of this 1729-nucleotide long non-coding RNA. RefSeq lists it as uncharacterized. Lineage: Eukaryota; Metazoa; Chordata; Aves; Piciformes; Lybiidae. The record is from RefSeq and is a predicted model, not a curated record. The transcript has 3 exons.